AGAGUUUGAUCAUGGCUCAGAACGAACGCUGGCGGCAGGCCUCAAACAUGCAAGUCUAGGGGGUGUAGCAAUACAUCACCGGCGGACGGGUGCGUAACACGUGGGAAUAUACCUUUUGGUUCGGAACAACGCAGGGAAACUUGCGCUAAUACCGAAUGUGCCCUUACGGGGAAAGAUUUAUCGCCAAAGGAUUAGCCCGCGUCCGAUUAGCUAGUUGGUGAGGUAAUGGCUCACCAAGGCUCCGAUCGGUAGCUGUUCUGAGAGGAAGAUCAGCCACACUGGGACUGAGACACGGCCCAGACUCCUACGGGAGGCAGCAGUUGGGAAUCUUGGACAAUGGGGGAAACCCUGAUCCAGCCAUGCCGCGUGAGUGAUGAAGGCCUUCGGGUUGUAAAACUCUUUCGACGGGGACGAUAAUGACGGUACCCGUAGAAGAAGCUCCGGCUAACUUCGUGCCAGCAGCCGCGGUAAUACGAAGGGGGCUAGCGUUGUUCGGAAUUACUGGGCGUAAAGCGCGCGCAGGCGGUCUUCCAAGUCAGUGGUGAAAGCCCGGAGCUCAACUCCGGAACUGCCAUUGAAACUGUAAGACUUGAGGAUGAGAGAGGUGAGUGGAAUUCCCAGUGUAGAGGUGAAAUUCGUAGAUAUUGGGAAGAACACCGGUGGCGAAGGCGGCUCACUGGCUCAUAUCUGACGCUCAGGCGCGACAGCGUGGGGAUCAAACAGGAUUAGAUACCCUAGUAGUCC
Molecule: ribosomal RNA, 744 nt
Filed under: uncultured bacterium
Lineage: Bacteria
Description: bacterial SSU rRNA
Rfam family: Bacterial small subunit ribosomal RNA
Source: RNAcentral